Molecule: long non-coding RNA, 213 nt
Organism: Sinocyclocheilus grahami
Lineage: Eukaryota; Metazoa; Chordata; Actinopteri; Cypriniformes; Cyprinidae
Exons: 2
Source: RefSeq, a predicted model, not a curated record
UUUGCCCCUCUUUUUAGUCACAAAAGGAAGGCACGAGCUUGUCCCCAAAGACAUCAAAGAGGAAGCUGAGAAAUAUGCUAAAGAAUCCCUGGAGGAGGAGGAUGACUCUGAUGAGGACAACAUGUAAACUGUUGCAAACCUCUGUUUUGUCAUUUCACUGACUGUGUACUAGGUUUCCGAUAAUCCUGGCAACUCUCAACUUUACUGCAGACA